RNAcentral lists this long non-coding RNA (386 nucleotides) under Taeniopygia guttata (zebra finch). RNAcentral's name for it is "lncRNA (ENSTGUG00000025773.1)". Lineage: Eukaryota; Metazoa; Chordata; Aves; Passeriformes; Estrildidae. The record is from RNAcentral.
GCGUUACGGAAAACGCGCAGUGGUAAAAGUGGCUUGUGGAGAGGCAGCUGGUGUGUCGCAGGUUUGUGGAAGGGCUGAGUCUCAGAGAGCGGCUGCAGGUCACUGGGAAGCAUGGGACAAGACCUGAAUGAUAACUUCUUGCAAGCCCUAACAGGGAGAGGAGCAGCAAAUUGCACUGGAAGAGUUCCCAUGAGCACCUGUGUGAUGAUGAUAAAGCUUUUUCCCUCAGAAUCUAUCCAUUAAAUGUAGAGCAGCGAAGUUUGGUUUUUAUGGAAAAUAUCUAUGAACAAUGGGGAAAGGAUGAAACCUUAGUAUGGCAAAAGAGCACUGGACAUUCAAUAAAUAGUAACAUUUUCCAAAGUGAGCUGAAUGGAGACAGAGUGGAG